ACAGGGAUUGCCUCAGUAACGGCGAGUGAAGCGGCAACAGCUCAAAUUUGAAAUCUGGCUCUUUCAGGGCCCGAGUUGUAAUUUGUAGAAGAUGCUUCGGGUGUGGCUCCGGUCUAAGUUCCUUGGAACAGGACGUCAUAGAGGGUGAGAAUCCCGUAUGUGACUGGCUGCCUCCCCCAUGUGAAGCUCUUUCGACGAGUCGAGUUGUUUGGGAAUGCAGCUCAAAAUGGGUGGUAAAUUUCAUCUAAAGCUAAAUAUUGGCCAGAGACCGAUAGCGCACAAGUAGAGUGAUCGAAAGAUGAAAAGCACUUUGGAAAGAGAGUUAAACAGUACGUGAAAUUGUUGAAAGGGAAGCGCUUGCAAUCAGACUUGCGCGCGGUCGAUCAUCCGAUGUUCUCACCGGUGCACUCGACCGUGCUCAGGCCAGCAUCGGUUUCGGUGGUUGGAUAAAGGCCUUGGGAAUGUGGCUCUCUUCGGGGAGUGUUAUAGCCCUCGGUGCAAUGCAGCCUACCGGGACCGAGGACCGCGCUUCGGCUAGGAUGCUGGCGUAAUGGUUGUAAGCGACCCG
RNAcentral lists this ribosomal RNA (568 nucleotides) under uncultured fungus. Its description in RNAcentral is "eukaryotic LSU rRNA". It matches the Rfam family "Eukaryotic large subunit ribosomal RNA", at positions 68 to 651 of the family's 3401-position model. The record is from RNAcentral. Lineage: Eukaryota; Fungi.